This 74-nucleotide transfer RNA is filed under the name Oceanithermus profundus DSM 14977. It matches the Rfam family "tRNA". Rfam says of the family: Transfer RNA (tRNA) molecules are approximately 80 nucleotides in length. The record is from Rfam by way of RNAcentral. Lineage: Bacteria; Thermotogati; Deinococcota; Deinococci; Thermales; Thermaceae.
GGGCGGUUAGCUCAGAUGGCUAGAGCGCUCGCUUCACACGCGAGAGGUCGGAGGUUCAAGUCCUCUACCGCCCA